Molecule: long non-coding RNA, 739 nt
Organism: Homo sapiens (human)
Lineage: Eukaryota; Metazoa; Chordata; Mammalia; Primates; Hominidae
Exons: 6
Source: RefSeq, a predicted model, not a curated record
AGGCGCCGAGAGCGAGCGAGGGCUGUGAGGACUGCCAGCAUGCUGUCACCUCUCAGUAUAAUUUAAGAUCAACCCUAAUUGAAAAUACUAUAUUUUGAAGGGUCACGUUUCUCUUUAGAUUACACACAGUGUCUUGUGAUACUGCCUCUGGUCAGCUGAUUUCUCCUUGCCUCAUUCCAACUUCUUUUGUCAGAAAAUUCUUCAAGAUUGCCACAUUCUUUCACAAUAAUAUGAAAAUGGAAGAGGAAUGAAUACUUUCCAACUCAUUUUUAAAGGACUACCUUUCCGUAACACCAAAACCAGAUGAAGAUAUCACAAGAAAAAAAAGCUACUGACCAAUAUCCCUCAUGAACAUAGAAGCAAAUAUUUUUAAGUAAAUUUUAGUAAUACGGUUCAACAACAUGUUAAAAAAUACAUCAUAAUUGAGUUUUAUCCAGGAAAUGAAAAUUCAGUCUGAAAAUCAAUGCAUGUAGCUCCCCAUAUUAACAAAGAAUAUUUGUGAAUUGUGCAAGAAGAAUACACUAUGUGGAUUAUUUCUAAAAUCAAAUGUUUGAAAUUAAGGGUGAGUUCUGAGCAUAGAAAGCAGCCUGAAGCCCCAGGAUUCAGGUCCCCAGAUUACGAAGGACUGGACAGGAUUCACUCCUGUUCACAAGAAAAGCAGAACCAAGAAGAGAGUUAAUAAAAGGAAUGGUUCACACGAUUAUGAUGGAUUAAAAAGUCCCCAAAUCUGUAGUCUGCA